This 534-nucleotide long non-coding RNA is filed under the name Homo sapiens (human). Its description in RNAcentral is "long non-coding RNA NONHSAT188735.1". Lineage: Eukaryota; Metazoa; Chordata; Mammalia; Primates; Hominidae. The record is from RNAcentral.
CCUGUUGUGGUAAUAGUCAGGUUAAUGUAAGAGAUGUUUCCCCAGAUACCCAGGUGAGCGAUUGAGGAUCCAAGAGCUUAACACAAGUUACGCAGCGAGAAGUAGAGGAAUCAACAAAGUGCAGACCUGAAUCACAUCAAUGCCAGCAAGGCCAAGAUUCCCUGAGUGACGUCUCAUAGCUCAUUGGAUUUUUCUUCAAGGCCUUUAUCCACCCAUAUAAGUGUGGGAUAUGGGUGAAAGAACAAGUUUGCAGAAAAGAUACAGUGAAUUAUGGACCAUGAGUUCGGGAAAGAAGGGUAGGACUGCGUCGCUGGCUGCAGUAUUCUGGAGGCUGGUCUUUGGGCUGUGAUCACUCUUCAUUCUAAAGGAGGCAUUUUCAGAACAUCAGGGAUAUAUCCUGCCCUGGGAUGCUGAUGAAUGGCCGCUUUAAGACUCACUGAGACACUUUGGUGCACGGCUCAGAGUGCUCUGAAGGAGUAGUUUUAAUUCAGCAGUUUUGAUGUGGAAGCAAAAAUAUAUAAAAUGGCAUUAUAU